This 380-nucleotide unclassified non-coding RNA is filed under the name uncultured Rickettsiales bacterium. RNAcentral's name for it is "contains 16S-23S intergenic spacer region". The record is from RNAcentral. Lineage: Bacteria; Pseudomonadati; Pseudomonadota; Alphaproteobacteria; Rickettsiales.
UCCGGCUUAUCACCGGCAGUUUCCUCAGAGUUCCCAGCAUUACCUGUUGGCAACAGAGGACGAGGGUUGCGCUCGUUGCGGGACUUAACCCAACAUCUCACGACACGAGCUGACGACAGCCAUGCAGCACCUGUGCUCCCUCCGGCCGAACCGAAGGACGCCAUCUCUGGUGUCCGCGAGGGGCAUGUCAAGGCCUGGUAAGGUUCUUCGCGUUGCCUCGAAUUGAACCACAUGUUCCACCGCUUGUGCGGGUCCCCGUCAAUUCCUUUGAGUUUUAGUCUUGCGACCGUACUCCCCAGGCGGAGUGCUUAGCGCGUUAGCUGCGCCACUGAGGGGUAACCCCCCAACGGCUAGCACUCAUCGUUUAGGGCGCGGACUAC